AGAGUUUGAUCAUGGCUCAGGACGAACGCUGGCGGCGUGCCUAAUACAUGCAAGUCGAGCGGAUUUUUGGGAGCUUGCUCCCAAAAAUUAGCGGCGGACGGGUGAGUAACACGUGGGCAACCUGCCUAUAAGACUGGGAUAACUUCGGGAAACCGGAGCUAAUACCGGAUAAUUCUUUUCCUCUCAUGAGGGAAGGCUGAAAGACGGUUUCGGCUGUCACUUAUAGAUGGGCCCGCGGCGCAUUAGCUAGUUGGUGAGGUAACGGCUCACCAAGGCAACGAUGCGUAGCCGACCUGAGAGGGUGAUCGGCCACACUGGGACUGAGACACGGCCCAGACUCCUACGGGAGGCAGCAGUAGGGAAUCUUCCGCAAUGGACGAAAGUCUGACGGAGCAACGCCGCGUGAGUGAUGAAGGUUUUCGGAUCGUAAAACUCUGUUGUUAGGGAAGAAUAAGUACGAGAGUAACUGCUCAUACCUUGACGGUACCUAACCAGAAAGCCACGGCUAACUACGUGCCAGCAGCCGCGGUAAUACGUAGGUGGCAAGCGUUGUCCGGAAUUAUUGGGCGUAAAGCGCGCGCAGGCGGUCUCUUAAGUCUGAUGUGAAAGCCCACGGCUCAACCGUGGAGGGUCAUUGGAAACUGGGAGACUUGAGUGCAGAAGAGAAGAGGAAUUCCACGUGUAGCGGUGAAAUGCGUAGAGAUGUGGAGGAACACCAGUGGCGAAGGCGACUCUUUGGUCUGUAACUGACGCUGAGGCGCGAAAGCGUGGGGAGCAAACAGGAUUAGAUACCCUAGUAGUCC
Molecule: ribosomal RNA, 803 nt
Filed under: uncultured bacterium
Lineage: Bacteria
Description: bacterial SSU rRNA
Rfam family: Bacterial small subunit ribosomal RNA
Source: RNAcentral